AUACGGAGGGUGCAAGCGUUAUCCGGAAUCAUUGGGUUUAAAGGGUCCGGAGGCGGACUAUUAAGUCAGAGGUGAAAUCCCACAGCUCAACUGUGGAACUGCCUUUGAUACUGGUAGUCUUGAGUUAUAUGGAAGUAGAUAGAAUGUGUAGUGUAGCGGUGAAAUGCAUAGAUAUUACACAGAAUACCGAUUGCGAAGGCAGUCUACUACGUAUAUACUGACGCUAAGGGACGAAAGCGUGGGGAGCGAACAGGAUUAGAAACCCUAGUAGUCC
This 274-nucleotide ribosomal RNA is filed under the name uncultured bacterium. Its description in RNAcentral is "partial 16S ribosomal RNA". It matches the Rfam family "Bacterial small subunit ribosomal RNA", at positions 523 to 796 of the family's 1533-position model. The record is from RNAcentral.